GUGUCAGCAGCCGCGGUAAAACGUAGGACGCAAACGUUAUCCGGAAUUACUGGGCGUAAAGGGCGCGCAGGCGGUUGGAUAAGUGAGGCAUGAAAGCCCCAUGGCUAAACCUGGGGAGGUUGUCUGAGACUGUCUGACUAGAGUGCGAUAGAGGGGUGUAGAAUUCCGCGUGUAGUGGUGAAAUGCGUAGAGAUGCGGAGGAAUACCAGAGGCGAAGGCGGCACCCUGGAUCGUAACUGACGCUGAGGCGCGAAAGCAUGGGUAGCGAACGGGAUUAGAAACCCUGGUAGUCC
This 293-nucleotide ribosomal RNA is filed under the name uncultured bacterium. Its description in RNAcentral is "partial 16S ribosomal RNA". It matches the Rfam family "Bacterial small subunit ribosomal RNA", at positions 505 to 796 of the family's 1533-position model. The record is from RNAcentral.